This 320-nucleotide ribosomal RNA is filed under the name uncultured eukaryote. Its description in RNAcentral is "partial 18S ribosomal RNA". It matches the Rfam family "Eukaryotic small subunit ribosomal RNA", at positions 1470 to 1796 of the family's 1831-position model. The record is from RNAcentral.
CCCCUAGAUGUUCUGGGCCGCACGCGCGCUACACUGAACAGUUCAACAAGUCUUAACCUUGGCCGAUAGGUCUGGGUAAUCUUUGAACGCUGUUCGUGAUUGGGAUAGACCUUUGCAAUUAUGGGUCUUCAACGAGGAAUUCCUAGUAAACGCAAGUCAUCAGCUUGCAUUGAUUACGUCCCUGCCCUUUGUACACACCGCCCGUCGCACCUACCGAUUGAAUGGUCCGGUGAAAUCUCGGGACGGCGGCUUGGUCGCUUGCGUCCGACUGCUGAAACUUGAUUAAACCAUNUNAUUCAGNGGAAGGUGAANUCGUANCA